UGGUUCUGGCAUCGAUGAAGAACGCAGCGAAAUGCGAUAAGUAAUGCGAAUUGCAGAAUUUCCGUGAGUCAUCGAAUCUUUGAACGCAUAUUGCGCCCUUUGGUAUUCCGAAGGGCAUGCCUGUCCGAGCGUCAUUAUCAACCCUCAAGCCUGGCUUGUUGUUGGACCCCGUCGUUACAGACAGGUCCCAAAGACAAUGGCGGUGCCGGCUGGUCCUGACAUGCAACGAGCUUCACAGCACGCAUGGCAGCGACGGCCGACCCGAUCUUUUAGUACAUCUUAAAAGGUUGACCUCGGAUCAGGUAGGAAUACCCGCUGA
Molecule: unclassified non-coding RNA, 319 nt
Filed under: uncultured fungus
Lineage: Eukaryota; Fungi
Description: partial contains 5.8S ribosomal RNA and internal transcribed spacer 2
Rfam family: 5.8S ribosomal RNA (bases 1-134)
Source: RNAcentral